GGCUAACUACGUGCCAGCAGCCGCGGUAAUACGUAGGGUGCGAGCGUUAUCCGGGAAUUAUUGGGCGUAAAGAGCUCGUAGGCGGUUUGUCGCGUCUGUCGUGAAAGUCCGGGGCUUAACCCGGGAUCUGCGGUGGGUACGGGCAGACUAGAGUGCAGUAGGGGAGACUGGAAUUCCUGGUGUAGCGGUGGAAUGCGCAGAUAUCAGGAGGAACACCGAUGGCGAAGGCAGGUCUCUGGGCUGUAACUGACGCUGAGGAGCGAAAGCAUGGGGAGCGAACAGGAUUAGAUACCCUGGUAGUCCAUGCCGUAAACGUUGGGCACUAGGUGUGGGGACCAUUCCACGGUUUCCGCGCCGCAGCUAACGCAUUAAGUGCCCCGCCUGGGGAGUACGGCCGCAAGGCUAAAACUCAAAGGAAUUGACGGGGGCCCGCACAAGCGGCGGAGCAUGCGGAUUAAUUCGAUGCAACGCGAAGAACCUUACCAAGGCUUGACAUGUUCUCGAUCGCCGUAGAGAUACGGUUUCCCCUUUGGGGCGGGUUCACAGGUGGUGCAUGGUUGUCGUCAGCUCGUGUCGUGAGAUGUUGGGUUAAGUCCCGCAACGAGCGCAACCCUCGUUCCAUGUUGCCAGCACGUAAUGGUGGGGACUCAUGGGAGACUGCCGGGGUCAACUCGGAGGAAGGUGAGGACGACGUCAAAUCAUCAUGCCCCUUAUGUCUUGGGCUUCACGCAUGCUACAAUGGCCGGUACAAUGGGUUGCGAUACUGUGAGGUGGAGCUAAUCCCAAAAAGCCGGUCUCAGUUCGGAUUGGGGUCUGCAACUCGACCCCAUGAAGUCGGAGUCGCUAGUAAUCGCAGAUCAGCAACGCUGCGGUGAAUACGUUCCCGGGCCUUGUACACACCGCCCGUCAAGUCACGAAAGUCGGUAACACCCGAAGCCGGUGGCCUAACCCUUGUGGGGGGAGCCGUCGAAGGUGGGACCAGCGAUUGGGACUAAGUCGUAACAAGGUAGC
Molecule: ribosomal RNA, 1011 nt
Filed under: Micrococcus sp. HC1
Lineage: Bacteria; Bacillati; Actinomycetota; Actinomycetes; Micrococcales; Micrococcaceae
Description: bacterial SSU rRNA
Rfam family: Bacterial small subunit ribosomal RNA
Source: RNAcentral